UGGCAACACUGGUGAAGACCCAGUGGCGAACGGGUGAGUAACACGUGAGGAACCUGCCCCGAAGACCGGGAUAACCCUCCGAAAGGAGAGCUAAUACCGGAUGCCCCCACCAGAUCGCAUGAUCAGGUGAGGAAAUGGAUUCCGCUUCGGGAGGGCCUCGCGGCCUAUCAGCUAGUUGGUGGGGUAACGGCCCACCAAGGCAUCGACGGGUAGCUGGUCUGAGAGGACGAUCAGCCACACUGGGACUGAGACACGGCCCAGACUCCUACGGGAGGCAGCAGUGGGGAAUCUUGCGCAAUGGGCGAAAGCCUGACGCAGCAACGCCGCGUGGGGGAUGAAGGCUCUCGGGUUGUAAACCCCUUUCAGCAGGGACGAAUCAAGACGGUACCUGCAGAAGAAGCCCCGGCUAACUACGUGCCAGCAGCCGCGGUAACACGUAGGGGGCAAGCGUUGUCCGGGUUUAUUGGGCGUAAAGAGCUCGUAGGUGGCUAAGUAAGUCGGACCUUAAAUCCCCAGGCUCAACCUGGGACACGGCUCGAUACUGCUUUGGCUAGAGUCCGGUAGGGGAGCAUGGAAUUCCUGGUGUAGCGGUGAAAUGCGCAGAUAUCAGGAGGAACACCAGCGGCGAAGGCGGUGCUCUGGGCCGGAACUGACACUGGGAGCGAAAGCGUGGGGUAGCAAACAGGAUUAGAUACCCUGGUAGUCCACGCCGUAAACGUUGGGCACUAGGGUGUGGGGGUCUAUUCAACGGACUCCGUGCCGUA
This 764-nucleotide ribosomal RNA is filed under the name uncultured bacterium. RNAcentral describes it as "bacterial SSU rRNA". It matches the Rfam family "Bacterial small subunit ribosomal RNA", at positions 77 to 850 of the family's 1533-position model. The record is from RNAcentral.